RNAcentral lists this ribosomal RNA (249 nucleotides) under uncultured bacterium. Its description in RNAcentral is "partial 16S ribosomal RNA". It matches the Rfam family "Bacterial small subunit ribosomal RNA", at positions 796 to 1041 of the family's 1533-position model. The record is from RNAcentral.
CACGCCCUAAACGAUGUCAACUAGGUGUUGGGGAAGGAGACUUUCUUAGUACCGCAGCUAACGCGUGAAGUUGACCGCCUGGGGAGUACGGUCGCAAGAUUAAAACUCAAAGGAAUUGACGGGGACCCGCACAAGCGGUGGAUGAUGUGGAUUAAUUCGAUGCAACGCGAAAAACCUUACCUACCCUUGACAUGCCAGGAAUCCUGAAGAGAUGUGGGAGUGCCCGAAAGGGAAUCUGGACACAGGUGC